ACGCGUAGGCGGCCGCCUAAGUCAGACGUGAAAUCCCUCGGCUCAACCGGGGAACUGCGUCUGAUACUGGGUGGCUUGAAUCCGGGAGAGGGAUGCGGAAUUCCAGGUGUAGCGGUGAAAUGCGUAGAUAUCUGGAGGAACACCGGUGGCGAAGGCGGCAUCCUGGACCGGUAUUGACGCUGAGGCGCGAAAGCCAGGGGAGCAAACGG
RNAcentral lists this ribosomal RNA (209 nucleotides) under uncultured bacterium. RNAcentral describes it as "partial 16S ribosomal RNA". It matches the Rfam family "Bacterial small subunit ribosomal RNA", at positions 567 to 775 of the family's 1533-position model. The record is from RNAcentral.